RNAcentral lists this ribosomal RNA (253 nucleotides) under uncultured bacterium. RNAcentral's name for it is "partial 16S ribosomal RNA". It matches the Rfam family "Bacterial small subunit ribosomal RNA", at positions 524 to 776 of the family's 1533-position model. The record is from RNAcentral.
UACAUAGGUCUCAAGCGUUGUUCGGAUUCAUUGGGCGUAAAGGGUGUGUAGGUGGCGCGCUAAGUCGGGUGUGAAAUUUCGGAGCUUAACUCCGAAACUGCAUUCGAUACUGGCGUGCUUGAGGACUGGAGAGGAGACUGGAAUUCAUGGUGUAGCAGUGAAAUGCGUAGAGAUCAUGAGGAAGACCAGUGGCGAAGGCGGGUCUCUGGACAGUUCCUGACACUGAGACACGAAGGCCAGGGGAGCAAACGGG